This is a long non-coding RNA of Taeniopygia guttata (zebra finch), 1678 nucleotides long. The record is from Ensembl. Lineage: Eukaryota; Metazoa; Chordata; Aves; Passeriformes; Estrildidae.
ACAUGCAGGAGCUGCAGCGACAGCAGCAGCAGCGGCGGCGGCAGUUCGGCUGCGGCAGCGAUCACGGGGCAGUUCGGGGCGGCCGCGAUCGCCUGGGGCAGCGGCGGUGGUUGCGGAGCAGAUGCAAGUGGCGGCGGCUGGGGCAGUCAGGAGCCGGGCGGGAGAGAGAGCCGUGGCAGCACGCAGGAACCAGGAGGGAGAAAAAGCCGCUGGAGCACGCAGGAGCCAGGAUCUGGAAUGCUGGUUUUUACAAUUGCUCUACCUGAGGUGGUGCCCAGCUUGUAUGUCCCCACUGAAGCCAAUUUACCAUCUUCACUUUUCCCCUGCUUGCCAUGGAGCUGGAGCUGAAAUGUGGCUGUGGAUGGGCCAUAGGAGCAGAAGAGGAGUGGGGCAGAUGGAGACACGAUAGGUGAAAGCAGGAGAGUGUGGGGGCAGUAGUGGGGAGAGAGCUUCAUGGCUGUGGAAAGUUCCACAGAGGAGGUGCCAGAGGGAACACAUGAGCCACCUAAGCAUGUUCCUCCGGGUCCUGGCAGGAAGACUCCACGCUUCUCACCCAUAUGGUACCUGAGCUAACAUUAGAAGCAUUCAGCUUGAGUGAAGUACCAGCUCAGGGAAAGGCAACAAGGCUGCUCCUGACAAAUGUGAGACUCUUCAUACACAUGCCCCCACAUGCCAUCUGCCCAGUUCAUCACUCAAGCAAGCGAAAGCUGGAAGAAGUUCCAGGCUGAAUAGCCUAGUAAAAGCAGAAGGAACAGAGGGCAGACUGUGUCUUCAGGGGUCCUGCCAGCAUUGUUUGCCAUGGUGUCUGUAUUUUCUGAAACACUCAUAGUGACGCUAUUCAUCAAAGACUGGUUUUCUGUCAUGGUGGAAAAUAGUUUGGUCUGUAAGUGGAGCUACAACAGGCAGUGCUAGUGGCUGUGUCUCUCUGCUAGGCAGAAAUGCAAUUGCCUUGGAUAAAUAAAGGUGAAGUGGUCUUUAGUGCAGUGCACAGACUUGUUAUUUUCUAGCUGUGAGUGUUUCUUUGCAUCUUUUGCUGCAGUCUCUUUUUUCUUUUUUUUUUUUUUAACCUGCUUAGGCCAGGGGUCUGAGGGAAAAAUUUCCCUUCUCAAUAUAUUUGCUUAUGACUGUCUUAGGUUGAAAAUGGGAGUGUGUAUUCUAUUCCUAUCUGAUGGGGCAGUUAUCUUUUGUUAAUUGGGCAGUUUAUCUCUUCCACAGCCCAUCCUCCUUCUGGGGAGAUACCUUCUGUUAAUGGGCCACUGAGUCCCACUGCAUGACUGGUAAAAUGACAUCACCCCAUUGUAAGAUACUCCACUCAGAGGGAGGAGACAAGCAUUCCUAACUGGAUAUAAUCAGAGAUUUAGAAGACCACAGCAGCCUUUUCCACUCGAUUCCCAGAGGAGCAGUCUUUUCUAACUGGAUUCUGAGGAAAACCAGGCCCAUCUACACCACCACUGGAUCUUCAGAAGAAGACUACAUCCUUCUACAGGAUUACCGCUUCAACAGAAACACAUCUGUCACUCCAGGAGGACUGCAGCCACCAUUUCAAUUGGACUGCUACCAAUACCCUGACCAACAGGGUGUCAGGUCAUAUUCUGGCUCUGUCAGUGUUGUUUUGUAUUACUGCAUUGGUUUUGUUGGGUUUUUUUUUCUUCCCUAAUAAAGAACUGUUAUUCCUGCU